RNAcentral lists this ribosomal RNA (823 nucleotides) under uncultured bacterium. RNAcentral's name for it is "bacterial SSU rRNA". It matches the Rfam family "Bacterial small subunit ribosomal RNA", at positions 8 to 796 of the family's 1533-position model. The record is from RNAcentral.
AGAGUUUGAUCAUGGCUCAGGACGAACGCUGGCGGCGUGCCUAACACAUGCAAGUCGAACGAACUCUGGUAUUGAUUGGUGCUUGCAUCAUGAUUUACAUUUGAGUGAGUGGCGAACUGGUGAGUAACACGUGGGAAACCUGCCCAGAAGCGGGGGAUAACACCUGGAAACAGAUGCUAAUACCGCAUAACAACUUGGACCGCAUGGUCCGAGCUUGAAAGAUGGCUUCGGCUAUCACUUUUGGAUGGUCCCGCGGCGUAUUAGCUAGAUGGUGGGGUAACGGCUCACCAUGGCAAUGAUACGUAGCCGACCUGAGAGGGUAAUCGGCCACAUUGGGACUGAGACACGGCCCAAACUCCUACGGGAGGCAGCAGUAGGGAAUCUUCCACAAUGGACGAAAGUCUGAUGGAGCAACGCCGCGUGAGUGAAGAAGGGUUUCGGCUCGUAAAACUCUGUUGUUAAGGAAGAACAUAUCUGAGAGUAACUGUUCAGGUAUUGACGGUAUUUAACCAGAAAGCCACGGCUAACUACGUGCCAGCAGCCGCGGUAAUACGUAGGUGGCAAGCGUUGUCCGGAUUUAUUGGGCGUAAAGCGAGCGCAGGCGGUUUUUUAAGUCUGAUGUGAAAGCCUUCGGCUCAACCGAAGAAGUGCAUCGGAAACUGGGAAACUUGAGUGCAGAAGAGGACAGUGGAACUCCAUGUGUAGCGGUGAAAUGCGUAGAUAUAUGGAAGAACACCUGUGGCGAAGGCGGCUGUCUGGUCUGUAACUGACGCUGAGGCUCGAAAGUAUGGGUAGCAAACAGGAUUAGAUACCCUGGUAGUCC